AACGCACCUUGCGCUCUCUGGUAUUCCGGAGAGCAUGUCUGUUUGAGUGUCAUGAACUCUUCAACCCACCGGUUCCUUGUUGGACCGGAUUGGUGUUUGGAUUUUGAGUGUUGCUAUUUAGUUAGCUCAUUCGUAAUACAUUAGCAUCUCAAUUUCGUAAUCGGAUUGACUCAGCGUAAUAGACUAUUCGCUGAGGACACCAUUUUGGUGGCCGAGACAUGAAAGAGUGGAAGCUUCAAACCCCUCCUAGUCAUUUUUAGAUUAGACCUCAGAUCAGGCAGGAUUACCCGCUGAACUUAA
RNAcentral lists this unclassified non-coding RNA (300 nucleotides) under Rhodoveronaea sp. RNAcentral's name for it is "partial contains 5.8S ribosomal RNA, internal transcribed spacer 2, and large subunit ribosomal RNA". The stretch from base 1 to 52 matches the Rfam family "5.8S ribosomal RNA", at positions 103 to 154 of the family's 154-position model. The record is from RNAcentral. Lineage: Eukaryota; Fungi; Ascomycota; Sordariomycetes. RNAcentral also lists the same sequence under 3 other names.